AUGCAAGUGGCGGCACUCGCCUCUCCAUCUGAAAGCCAUGGGAUGGGAGAGGGUCCCCUUGAAUGGCUAUCCCCAUCCCCAUCCCCAUGCCCACCCUCAUCCUCAUCCUCAUCCCCAACCCCAUCCCCAUCCCCAUCCCCGUCCCUGUCCCCGUCCCCAACCCCAUUCUCCAUCCCCGUCCCCAGCCAGGCGAGCCCCACAGGACAUUCCUCAUCGCCCUUCAGCAACAACCCCGCCGUCUUCCGCUCCCACCCGACCCCUGUUAGGAAAUUAGGGCGUCCUCCCCCUCCCUGCCCUUCCCCUGCCCUUCCCCUGCUCUUUCCCCUUGCGCCAGCAUCCAGAACCCCCGACCCCAAAACCAAGCCGGAAAAACAAGCGGAGCUGCGAGCCCUGCCCCCGGUUCCGCUGCAAAGCCGCAGCACGGAGCCCCCCAAAGCCCCCCCAAAGGCUGAACCCGUCCCUUCCCCGGGUCCCCCCCGCCCCGGUCCUCACCGUCCCCCGCUGCGCUCCCGCUGCUCGCCCCGGCCCCGCUGCGCGAAGGGGCAGCUCCGGGCGGCUGAGUCACGGGCAGGCGGCUCCUCCUCUGCCCCGGCCCCUUUCCCUGCCCCUUUGCCAGCCCCUGCCCCUUUCCCUGCCCCUUUUUCCCUGCCCCUUUCCCUGCCCCUUUCCCUUUCCCCGCCCGCCCACUGCUGCUCCCCGCCUCCGCCCCCCCACACCUUGUGCCCUUCCUGCCUGCAGCCCGCUGCUCUCCUCCUCUUCCUCCUGCUUCUCCUCCUCCUUCUGCUCCUCCUCUUUCUCCUCCUCCUCCUCCUCCUUCUCCGGCCCGCCUCCACCCCAUCCGUUUCCCACCCCAUCCUGCCUAAUUCCCUCCUCCAGCCUUCCCAGUUCCCUUCUGCAGCCUGCCUGCAGCCUGUUUUCCUGCCUCCAGCCCGUUUGCUUCCCUCCUCUGUCCUGCUUCCAUCCGGGCUGCUUCCCUUCUCCAACCUGUGUGAUUCCUUCCUCCAGCCUGCCUGCUUUCUGCCUCCAUCCCACUGCUUCCUUCCUCCUCCCUGCCCACCUCCAUCCCACCUCCAUCCCACCUCCAUCUCACCUCCAUGCCAUGGCCAUCCCACCUCCAUCCCACCUCCUUCCCAUCUCCUUCCCAUCUCCUUCUCACCACCACCUCACCUCCACCCCAUCUCCAUCCCACCUCCACCCCCCGCCCAUCCCACCCCCAUCCUGCCACCAUCCCCUGCAGUUUUCCCCCAGAAGCCCAGCAAAUCCGCACCGUGCCAAUUUACUUCUUCUCCACUUGACAUUUUGGCCAGCUCUCACAAGAACCGUGAACACCGCAGGUCAUUCUAA
This 1344-nucleotide long non-coding RNA is filed under the name Anser brachyrhynchus (Pink-footed goose). Its description in RNAcentral is "lncRNA (ENSABRG00000003648.1)". The record is from RNAcentral. Lineage: Eukaryota; Metazoa; Chordata; Aves; Anseriformes; Anatidae.